Molecule: ribosomal RNA, 393 nt
Filed under: uncultured bacterium
Lineage: Bacteria
Description: partial 16S ribosomal RNA
Rfam family: Bacterial small subunit ribosomal RNA
Source: RNAcentral
AUACGGAGGAUCCGAGCGUUAUCCGGAUUUAUUGGGUUUAAAGGGAGCGUAGGCGGACUAUUAAGUCAGCUGUGAAAGUUUGCGGCUCAACCGUAAAAUUGCAGUUGAUACUGGUCGUCUUGAGUGCAGUAGAGGUAGGCGGAAUUCGUGGUGUAGCAGUGAAAUGCUUAGAUAUCACGAAGAACUCCGAUUGCGAAGGCAGCUUACUGGACUGUAACUGACGCUGAUGCUCGAAAGUGUGGGUAUCAAACAGGAUUAGAUACCCUGGUAGUCCACACAGUAAACGAUGAAUACUCGCUGUUUGCGAUAUACGGCAAGCGGCCAAGCGAAAGCAUUAAGUAUUCCACCUGGGGAGUACGCCGGCAACGGUGAAACUCAAAGGAAUUGACGGGG